RNAcentral lists this ribosomal RNA (168 nucleotides) under Bothrocara brunneum (twoline eelpout). RNAcentral describes it as "partial small subunit ribosomal RNA". Lineage: Eukaryota; Metazoa; Chordata; Actinopteri; Perciformes; Zoarcidae. The record is from RNAcentral.
CACCGCGGUUAUACGAGAGGCCCAAGUUGAAAGACCCCGGCGUAAAGAGUGGUUAAGCUAGAAUUUAUACUAAAGCCGAAUAUCCUCACGGCUGUUAUACGCACCCGAAGAUGAGAAGCUCAGCCACGAAGGUAGCUUUAUUUGUCUGAACCCACGAAAGCUACGGCA